GGGCUCGUAGGGUAGUCAGGACAUCCUAAUGGGCUUCGGUGACACCCAUUGACCCGUGUUCAAAUCGCGGCGAGCCCGCCA
This 81-nucleotide transfer RNA is filed under the name Methanohalobium evestigatum Z-7303. Its description in RNAcentral is "tRNA-Arg". The record is from RNAcentral. Lineage: Archaea; Methanobacteriati; Methanobacteriota; Methanomicrobia; Methanosarcinales; Methanosarcinaceae.